RNAcentral lists this ribosomal RNA (238 nucleotides) under uncultured bacterium. Its description in RNAcentral is "partial 16S ribosomal RNA". It matches the Rfam family "Bacterial small subunit ribosomal RNA", at positions 118 to 353 of the family's 1533-position model. The record is from RNAcentral.
UGAGCAAUCUGCCCUUCUCUUCGGAAUAAGCGUUGGAAACGACGUCUAAUGCCGAAUACGACCUCCUUUCGCAUGAUCGGAGGUGGAAAGCUCCGGCGGAGAAGGAUGAGCUCGCGGCCUAUCAGCUAGUUGGUGUGGGUAAUGGCCCACCAAGGCGACGACGGGUAGCCGGCCUGAGAGGGUGACCCGGCCACACUGGGACUGAGACACGGCCCAGACCUCCGUACGGGAGGCAGCG